This 253-nucleotide ribosomal RNA is filed under the name uncultured bacterium. RNAcentral's name for it is "partial 16S ribosomal RNA". It matches the Rfam family "Bacterial small subunit ribosomal RNA", at positions 524 to 776 of the family's 1533-position model. The record is from RNAcentral.
UACGUAGGGGGCAAGCGUUGUCCGGAAUCAUUGGGCGUAAAGCGCGUGUAGGCGGCUGACUAAGUCCGCUCUGAAAGCCCGGGGCUCAACCCCGGGAGGCGGGUGGAUACUGGUCAGCUCGAGUCCGGAAGAGGAGUGUGGAAUUCCUGGUGUAGCGGUGAAAUGCGCAGAUAUCAGGAGGAACACCAGUGGCGAAGGCGCCGCUCUGGGCCGUGACUGACGCUGAGGAGCGAAAGCGUGGGUAGCAAACAGG